UGGGCUCUGCUUCGUGCGACGCACAUCUAUUUCCUGGGGCCAACAUCUACCUCAAAGGGAACUGUCCCUGAUGGAACCGUGGUUUUAUCAUAUGGUGCCCACCUGCUGAGAGCAGGCCACAGAGGAAUAACGACUGCACCCGGCGAUAGCGGUCCCACC
RNAcentral lists this non-coding RNA (159 nucleotides) under Alphaproteobacteria bacterium. RNAcentral describes it as "6S RNA". It matches the Rfam family "6S / SsrS RNA". From Rfam's summary of the family: E. coli 6S RNA was the first non coding RNA to be sequenced, but its function was unknown until recently. It consists of 184 nucleotides that fold into an extended hairpin structure with a large single-stranded internal bulge. The 6S RNA specifically associates with RNA polymerase holoenzyme containing the sigma70 specificity factor. Lineage: Bacteria; Pseudomonadati; Pseudomonadota; Alphaproteobacteria. The record is from RNAcentral.